This 2456-nucleotide long non-coding RNA is filed under the name Mytilus galloprovincialis (Mediterranean mussel). The record is from RNAcentral. Lineage: Eukaryota; Metazoa; Mollusca; Bivalvia; Mytilida; Mytilidae.
GACCAGGACACCGGACACAAUUUUUAAACUAGAUACCUCAAUGAUGAUUUUAGCCAAGUUUGGUUAAAUUUGACCCAGUAGUUUUAGAGGAGAAGAUUUUUGUAAAAGUUAACGACGACGGUCGACGGACGACGACGAACGACGGACGCCAAGUGAUGAGAAAAUUUCACUUGGCCUUUAAGGCCAGGUGAGCUAAAAAAAUAGUAUUCACAUAAAUCUCACGUAAACUUUACAUCAUCUUCACAAAUUAAAAAUAUGUAAAUAUCAUGAUGAAAAUAAUACUUGAGCGUUAUAUUUCAAUAACCUUGUCGUUCCUUCUGUUGGUCCGUUCGUCCAAUGAAUAUUAUCGUCACCUUUUUUUUAAAUGACAUCAUUACUAUUAUGUUUCAUUCUUUAUCACAUGACACACGCUGUUAUUUUGAAAACCCCAAUCACUUUUUAAAAAGUAGCAUAAUUAUUUAACUGUUUCUUGUGUACUAGAAUACUUUAGUUUAUUGUGGAAGAGUUAGAAAGGACUGGGAUACAACUCACAAACCAGUGUAAUCACAGUGAUUCGACACUUUCAAAGGGAGGUUUGUCAGAGAUAUUUAUAGUCAUUUAUUACACACUAUAGAAUAUGCGUUUUGCUCAUAGUAGAAAAUCGUAAGGUUACAUAUUGCUGCUUACUUUAAUCUCAUAUGGAGUCUAGUAAAAAAACUCUUAGCGACAUGAAUUUUAUAUUUUCUUUUUAUCUCAAUGAACUAGUAGUUCGAAAAAAAAUUGCAUUUCACUCAGUUCAUAGGACAAAAAAAAUCAUAAUAAAUUAUUGACCGAAAAUAUACAGUUUGAACAUUAAUUUAUUAUGCCCAAGUUAUCAUUUUCUUUAUAAAAUAAAUACACAAUGCUUUUUUAUUCAAAUUGUAAGCGUUGAACUAUUGGACCGGUCAAUCGUUUCCAACUAUUGGACCUGUAUGAAACUAUUUGACAACAGGUGUCAUUUUAUUUCGCGGAAUUUUCAAUGCAGGUACACAAUUGGAGGAUUUUGAAAAUACCGCGGGAGUAACGAUGUCGUGUUUUACCUAUUGUACCUAGGGUUAACGUCAGUGCAAGACGUAGCCUUAGCAUUUGAACACAUUUAUGAAGUUUACGUUAUGGUUGGGUUUCUGCUUUUUUAUAUUAUGAUAGUUGAUUUAUCACUGCCAUUUAUUGUCUGUUGUCUUUUUCGAUAUAAUAAAACCCUUACUGACUGGAUAUUCGUGGAAUGGUAAGUUUAUUGUCCCUCGAAUACAACUAUUGCCAUCGGCUACGCCUCAGGACAAUAGUUGCUCCUUGUGACAAUAAACUUACUAUCUACUCAUACCCAGUCAAUAAGUAUACAUUUUAUUUAUUUGUACCUCUUACUAUGAUAAAUAGUUGACAUGUCUUUUUGGGACAGUCCAUUAUUACAUGUACUUCACGACCAGAUUUGUUUUCAUUUUGUUGUCCAUGGAAAUUAUAAGAAAGAUUUCAUCGGAAAUAUAACAGAAAAUGUAAUAAUCAUUGACGAAGAACGGAAACAUUUUUCUUAAAAUUCCUGAAUAGGAUAUGUUAUUCAGGUCUAAAACAGGGAAUAUACUGUGACAUUCCCGGCUUAGAGUUUAUAUCCCCUGAGACGAAGGCGAAGGGGAUAUAAGCCCGAAGCCGGAAAUGUCACAGUAUAUACCCUGUCUGAGACCUGAAUUACACAUAUAUUCUGGUUUACCCCUGACCUGUUAUUUUCCAGUGUAGGUAUUUGUUGAACAUUCACAAUGCAACAUGUACAUGCAUUACAUGUUUAUUGUUUCUUUAAUAUUUUGAGUAAUCCAUUUAAAUGCACCUUUUAUAUCUUGAUAAAUUUUUUCCCGUUAAAAAAUAGUUUCAAUAAAGUUUUAAGAUAUCAUAUGUUGUGUUUGUAUGUGUGUGUGGCUUUGUUUUUUUACAACACAUAUAUUGAAAACCCCAACCUUAUAUGUUUGACAUACGUGAAGGGUUUUCAAAUAUGCUGUAAACAUAAUUUUAUCGAGUAUGUAAUAAUUUAUAAUCACACUUUUAACAUUUAAUUUAAGUAUUAAAAGUGUAAAUUAAGUGAUUGUGUAUUAAAAUGUACUAUUGACUGAAGCACGUCAAUAGUUCGCCUCUGUGAGGCUCUGACAUUCCUUAGUGUUCUGUACAGCUUUUGACUACGUUACAUAGUAACCGUUGUUAUGAUAACGUUUUUGAGGUUCCAAUUAGGGAUACAAAUGGUGUAUAUACCCCAGCAGUUUUCUAAAUAUAUACUGACAAUUAUGUGGUGUUAUCCAAUACCUCGACACAUUUGUAUUCCGUAAUAUACUUUAAUAAAUAUGUUAGAACAAAUAUACUAUAUAAUGCAAUUAAACUUUUCUGCUUAUUUUGAAAAUAUACCUACAUUAUAUAAGUCACUAAUAUUUCUGACAGACAACAACUUGAGAAGUUGGUAU